UACAGAGGGUGCAAGCGUUAAUCGGAAUCACUGGGCGUAAAGGGUGCGUAGGUGGCGAUAUAAGUUUCAUGUGAAAUCCCUGGGCUUAACCUGGGAACUGCAUGGGAGACUGUGUUGCUAGAGUAGAGUAGAGGUGAGUGGAAUUUCCGGUGUAGCGGUGAAAUGCGUAGAGAUCGGAAGGAACACCAGUGGCGAAGGCGGCUCACUGGACUCAUACUGACACUGAGGCACGAAAGCGUGGGGAGCAAACAGG
Molecule: ribosomal RNA, 253 nt
Filed under: uncultured bacterium
Lineage: Bacteria
Description: partial 16S ribosomal RNA
Rfam family: Bacterial small subunit ribosomal RNA
Source: RNAcentral